This 406-nucleotide ribosomal RNA is filed under the name uncultured bacterium. Its description in RNAcentral is "bacterial SSU rRNA". It matches the Rfam family "Bacterial small subunit ribosomal RNA", at positions 28 to 433 of the family's 1533-position model. The record is from RNAcentral.
GAUGAACGCUGGCGGCGUGCUUAACACAUGCAAGUCGAGCGAGGGAGUCUCUUCGGAGAUGAACUAGCGGCGGACGGGUGAGUAACACGUGGGCAACCUGCCUUACAGAGGGGGAUAGCCUUCCGAAAGGAAGAUUAAUACCGCAUAUUAUGAGUUUUCUGCAUGGGGAAUUCAUGAAAGGAGCAAUCCGCUGUAAGAUGGGCCCGCGGCGCAUUAGCUAGUUGGUGAGGUAAGGGCUCACCAAGGCGACGAUGCGUAGCCGACCUGAGAGGGUGAUCGGCCACAUUGGGACUGAGACACGGCCCAGACUCCUACGGGAGGCAGCAGUGGGGAAUAUUGCACAAUGGGGGAAACCCUGAUGCAGCAACGCCGCGUGAGUGAUGAAGGCCUUCGGGUUGUAAAGCUC